Molecule: transfer RNA, 45 nt
Filed under: Paroedura masobe
Lineage: Eukaryota; Metazoa; Chordata; Lepidosauria; Squamata; Gekkonidae
Description: partial tRNA-Cys
Source: RNAcentral
CCGAAGUGCAAAUUCGGCGCAGCACCCCAAAGAGUGCCGGGGCUU